AUUGAACGCUGGCGGCAUGCCUUACACAUGCAAGUCGAACGGCAGCGCGGACUUCGGUCUGGCGGCGAGUGGCGAACGGGUGAGUAAUACAUCGGAACGUACCCUGUUGUGGGGGAUAACUAGUCGAAAGAUUAGCUAAUACCGCAUACGACCUGAGGGUGAAAGUGGGGGACCGCAAGGCCUCACGCAGCAGGAGCGGCCGAUGUCGGAUUAGCUAGUUGGUGGGGUAAAGGCCCACCAAGGCGACGAUCAGUAGCUGGUCUGAGAGGACGAUCAGCCACACUGGGACUGAGACACGGCCCAGACUCCUACGGGAGGCAGCAGUGGGGAAUUUUGGACAAUGGGGGCAACCCUGAUCCAGCAAUGCCGCGUGUGUGAAGAAGGCCUUCGGGUUGUAAAGCACUUUUGUCCGGAAAGAAAUCGCGCUGGUUAAUACCUGGCGUGGAUGACGGUACCGGAAGAAUAAGCACCGGCUAACUACGUG
RNAcentral lists this ribosomal RNA (484 nucleotides) under uncultured bacterium. RNAcentral's name for it is "partial 16S ribosomal RNA". It matches the Rfam family "Bacterial small subunit ribosomal RNA", at positions 30 to 507 of the family's 1533-position model. The record is from RNAcentral.